Molecule: ribosomal RNA, 435 nt
Filed under: uncultured bacterium
Lineage: Bacteria
Description: partial 16S ribosomal RNA
Rfam family: Bacterial small subunit ribosomal RNA
Source: RNAcentral
AGCGAACGCUGGCGGCAGGCUUAACACAUGCAAGUCGAGCGGGCACUUUCGGGUGUCAGCGGCGGACGGGUGAGUAACGCGUGGGAACGUGCCCUCUGGUUCGGAAUAACUCAGGGAAACUUGAGCUAAUACCGGAUACGCCCUUUUGGGGAAAGGCUUGCUGCCGGAGGAUCGGCCCGCGUCUGAUUAGCUAGUUGGUGAGGUAACGGCUCACCAAGGCGACGAUCAGUAGCUGGUCUGAGAGGAUGCUCAGCCACACUGGGACUGAGACACGGCCCAGACUCCGACGGGGGGCAGCAGUGGGGAAUAUUGGACAAUGGGCGCAAGCCUGAUCCAGCCAUGCCGCGUGAGUGAUGAAGGCCUUAGGGUUGUAAAGCUCUUUUAUCCGGGACGAUAAUGACGGUACCGGAGGAAUAAGCCCCGGCUAACUUCGUG